GCUCCAGACUCCUACGGGAGGCAGCAGUGGGGAAUAUUGCACAAUGGGCGAAACCCUGAUGCAGCGACGCCGCGUGAGUGAAGAGGUAAUUCGUUAUGUAAAGCUCUAUCAGCAGGGAAGAAAAUGACGGUACCUGAGUAAGAAGCCCCGGCUAACUACGUGCCAGCAGCCGCGGUAAUACGUAGGGGGCAAGCGUUAUCCGGAUUUACUGGGUGUAAAGGGAGCGUAGACGGCAGUGCAAGUCUGGAGUGAAGGGCGGGGGCUCAACCCCCGGACUGCUCUGGAAACUGUACGGCUGGAGUGCAGGAGAGGUAAGUGGAAUUCCUAGUGUAGCGGUGAAAUGCGUAGAUAUUAGGAGGAACACCAGUGGCGAAGGCGGCUUACUGGACUGUAACUGACGUUGAGGCUCGAAAGCGUGGGGAGCAAACAGGAUUAGAUACCCCGGUAUC
This 449-nucleotide ribosomal RNA is filed under the name uncultured bacterium. RNAcentral describes it as "bacterial SSU rRNA". It matches the Rfam family "Bacterial small subunit ribosomal RNA", at positions 328 to 794 of the family's 1533-position model. The record is from RNAcentral.